This 4584-nucleotide unclassified non-coding RNA is filed under the name Hevea brasiliensis (rubber tree). Lineage: Eukaryota; Viridiplantae; Streptophyta; Magnoliopsida; Malpighiales; Euphorbiaceae. The record is from RNAcentral.
AGUCAACAAAUGAUAUUAAAUCAGACCAGAUUACUAUCCCAUUUCUUAUUCAAUCAGUCGAACCGGAGUCGUGAGUUCAGCAGAAAUCCCAACCAUGAUGGCAGCAUGUGUUGCUGGAAAUUGAAGACGCAAACCUCGACGCGUAGUGGGAAGUGAAGAAAACAUACACCCCCGUCUGCAUCAAUGCUCUAACGCCUACAAUGGGCAAGGACCGAACUGUAGUUUGCAGGUUGAACUUUACUGCAAUUUAGAGUGCGUUUGGCUACAAGACUGGUAUAACUGAAUGAAAAUCCAUCGCCAAUGGUUCUGAAAACUGGAUAGAAAUUUUACCACAAUUGCAGGCACUAAAAACAAAAGUCUGAAUAUAUCUAAUAGAACGAAGACAUGCUUAGAAACGAGACAUAAAUAAGGCACAACAGCACCAAAAUACUCGCCUUCUGUCAAGCUCUCUGAAAAGACCAAACUCAAGAUUUUUUUUUUUAAUUGUAAAAAGGAUUUUCACAAAAGGAAUGAAUCACAUUCUCUAUAAAUCAAUUUUCCUCUACAAAUUAUGUAAAAUCAAAGCAGCAAAACCUUAAUAUGCAUUAUUUUCAACAUCAAAUGUACACACACUAUGUAUAGAACUCAAAUCAAAAACUCAAUUGGCACUGAAUGGUUGGUCUAAAAACAAAUCAGCUCCUAGCAUUACCAUGUCGUUGGUUUCUGAAGUAUUGAAGUAAUGCCUGAGCCUUUUCUUUAGCUCUUGGGGUGCCAGACUGUGAUAAAGCCACUAAUGGUGGUACAGCACCUUCUUGAAGCACCAUGUUGCAAAACCUACUACUGUUCGUGCAAAGCUGCAAAAGUGCAGCAGCUGCAUUUUCCUUCCCUCUUGCAGAACCCAACUCAACAACCUCAACCAGAACAGGGAUCCCACCCUCUUGACCAAUUGCAGUCCUUCCCUCAGGAAUAGUUGCAAGGUUAGCCAAGACAGCAACUGCCUUGUCAACCAUCCCAGCUGCUGGGUCCAUCAACUCGACAAGGUGCUUAACAGCACCAGCUUGCACAAUCCGGGCUUUGUUUUCAUGAAAUAUUGACAAAUUAAACAAAGCUGUGGCUGCAUCCUUCUUUCCCCUGGGAGUUCCAUUCCCCAACAAAUCAACCAGAGGUCUAACAGCCCCAGACCGUCCUAUCCUGACCUUGUUAUCCUCAAUCACUGAUAGGCUAAAGAGAGUAGCAGCUGAAUUCUCCUUGGCCUCUGGACUUCCUGUGUCUAGUACAUGAAUCAGAGGUUCAAUAGCAUCUGCAUUAGCAAUUGCUGUUUUGUUGUUAUCAUUAAUUGACAAGUUAAGGAGCGCUGUGACAGCAUUUUCCUGAAUCAUUAUGUCAGUUGAUCGAAGAAAGUUAACUAACAAGUUAAUGGCCCCACAGCUUGCUAUAACAAUCCUAUUGUCCAUGUUGUGUUUGGCAAGUAGCCUGAGGUCAGCUGUUGCCUCUCUUUGAGUAUCAACUGAAUCACUUUUCAAGUCCUCAAUCAGCUUUCGAACUUUGGUUUCAACACCAGAAAGAUCAGCCCUCGUUUCCAUAGCAGGAGAAGAAACUAUCCUUGGAACAAGCCUAUCUGACGGCCGCCGCCAGAAAGUUUGACUUCGAGACCGUGUCUCAACCAAACGGGGUGGGAACUCAGGUUCUCUGUGAGGGGCGUUCAAAGUAGUAGAAGCCUGUGGCUCUGCUUUUACCUCCCCUGAAGUAUCACUGCUAUAGGAAGUAAGAUGGUUUGACAUCUCUGAACACUCAUUAGCAUCUGCAUGAACUCCUUGAGAAAAAUUUGCAUUAGCAACACUGGAGGCUGAGGCAUUUCUACUGUGGCUCUGAGUCAUAUGUUCAUCAGCUCUAACACCAUUCGGAACUUCCUUUCUAGGAGGUGAUACAGGGUGGUUGACAACUGAAUCCAUGCUCCUUUCAUCCAAGUUAGCAGACCUUUCCUCAGAACUCAUUCGUGAUAUUCUCAUCAUGUCCAUACCCAGUUCAUUUCCUACUAUACCUGAUAAGGAACCCUCGGAUGUAGAACAAGGAUGAAGUGGAGAAGAUCCCUCUUGAUGAAUUCUACUAGAAGAGAUCCAAUUCCUUCCAGGAGAACCGGUAGACCGAGUUGACUCAGGUGACAUGGGUUGGUUGCCCCUGGAUUGAGGAAAAACAUGUGAAUCCCUGGGCAUGCCACCAGACUCUGCAUGUACAAGAAGUGGUGAGGGCUGAUUGAAGCCCACAGACUUCACAGGAUCAGGCAGCUUCACAUUGUUGGACUCACACCAAUUUGCAAUGAGAGCCUUUACAGUGUAAUUAGGUAUCAGAUUGGUGUGAGCAAGAGUCUGUCGUGUCUUGGGACACACAGUGAGCCCAUGUUCAAUCCAGUUUUUAAUGAACGCUCGCUCAUAGGUUUGCCCAGAUGCCACAAUCACUGGAUCAGUCAUCAACUCAAGAGAGAGAGGGCAGCAAAAAUCAGCUGGUAUUGGGACUGGGCUGCUGGUCUGAGACUGUUUUAUCAGAACAAGACGUUCAUGCAUGCGAGUCACAAGAGAAAUCAUUUGAUCGAAUAACUCAGCUUCCCUAGUGUUUUCAGCUUGCUCAGCAUUCUCCUUCAACUUCUCGAGGGCCACUGCUUCAAUCAGAACAUCCUGAUUGGACCUCAAGCUUAAGCACUCUACAAUUUUCACCAGAAUCUCUGAGCUAGGUUCACCACUCUCCACUUGGUCCCUUAUGGCUUCUCUAACAACAGAUGAUGUUUGUUCAUAUCCCAUUUGCUUAAUUUUUUGUGAGCAGUACUCAAGAGAUGAUGAACUUAAUUCAUCAGGGAAAUGUUCAUGGGAAGACUUCAACAGCUGAAACAUAUCCAGACCCAAAGUCCUGAUCUUUGAUAUUAAUGAUUCAGUUUGCAGAACAAAAUAAACUUUACUCGACAAUGGUUGCCAGUUUUCAAAGAGUUCCCUCAGUUCAUCAACAGACUGGCCCAAUUCAUGAAAUGCCUUAUUAAGCACUUCAUCAGAAGCUAUUUCAGAAUCAACAACAGCAUCAAGUAUUGGCUUCAACAGCUUCAAUAUCUCUUCUGCCUUCUGGCAAUACUUCUGAACCAGGUCCGAGCUUAAGUUCUCAAUGGUUGAUAAACAUAAAAAAGAGGAGAUGUUAUUGAGAAGUGCUUUCAAAACUGAUAUUUCCAUCACACCUGCAUCACCCAAAAAAAAAAGAGAAUCACAAAUUGCACCAACAAAGGAAGAAAAAAAAAGCAUCAAACUAGCAAAUAUCCAUAGGGAGCUUCUUCAGACCAAAAAUCUGAACAAAUGUAAGGCACAGAUUAAUGAUUAAUGCUUAUUUAUUAAAUGUAUGGAAACAGGCAUCAAUAGAAUUACUUUAUAGGCAUUAUCCCAAGUUAUCUAAUCCACUCACUCUCUUGACAAGAAACACUGAAAAUUUGGUAUCUUAAUACUGGAAUGUUAAAAGGGAAAGUAAAAAGAUAGCUCAGUGAAUCCAUAAUAUUAAGCAACCACCGAUGGAAACAACCCAAACAUAACUAAUCUAUUACAAAAAGUUUCCUUCAAUUGUUUAAUGCAUUACAGAUUCUUUACAAUUCAUUUCGGAGCAACAAUAGCAUGCAAUGUAGAAAUUAAACAUCAAAAUGACAUAAACAAAGCAAUGCUUGAACGUUAUACUAUCUGCUACAGAGCAAAAACCCAAGCAAUAUAUCCAAAGCAAAAUUAGUAGGCUUAUUUAAGUGCAAAUAAAUAACUGUGGAACUAAAAAAAAACUAACAUCAAAAUAAUAAUAGCAUUUGAUGAUCAUCAUGCAUGCCUAUUUCACAGUGAUACAGAAGAUGGAUACAACAGACAAAUAACUGAAUAAAAAUUCCAAUAACUAUCUCAGAAGCACUUCUUUCCAAACCCUUAAUCAGGCAUUCUAUUAGACACCCGAUGUAAAUCCUAGAGAUUUUAGGACUACUUAUUUUAGGAAAAACUGUAGAAAGUAGUUUAUUUUAUUAAAGUAGUUUUAUUUGAUUUGUAAUUCCUAAUUAGGGUUGAUUGAUUCCACGAAGCCACAAAAUUUUGCUUCACAUACACAUAUAGUUGUUCAUCACUAGGCCCUAUAAGCCAACCACAAUGAUACCUAUCCUUUAACAACUAGUGAUCCAGCUCAGUGGUAUCAGUUGUGAGUUGUUACAAAUCAAGGAUAGUAAGCUGUGAGCAAGAUUUUUAGGACACUUAUGGAGGGCCACCAUAGGUGAAAAGAAUUCUUUAAUAGAGAUUUGGCAUUUUUUUUCUGAUGAAGAUGUGAUUUUUCGAGCUGGGUUUUCAUAAACUAGGGAUCUGAAAUCAGGGUCUUGAAUGAUUUGGAAAUGCACCAGGUGAUCGAUUGAGGAAGGAUUUCAAUGAUGCCUUUGCCUUCUAGGGCUGGAAGUGAAGGAAAUUGAUCAGAUUGGGAUGAAUUCUUACUUUUACUCAACUUUUUUUUUGGGGGGGCACUAUUCUAGUCUACUUCUGUGAUAGAUUAUAGACCAUUACAAUUUUAGUUUUUUUUAUCAAAAUUAAAUGCAUAUCUAUCAAGAGAUAAAGAAUUUCU